Molecule: ribosomal RNA, 467 nt
Filed under: uncultured bacterium
Lineage: Bacteria
Description: partial 16S ribosomal RNA
Rfam family: Bacterial small subunit ribosomal RNA
Source: RNAcentral
GACGAACGCUGGCGGCGUGCUUAACACAUGCAAGUCGAACGGAAAGGCCUCUUUCGGGGGGUACUCGAGUGGCGAACGGGUGAGUAACACGUGAGUAACCUGCCCUUGACUUUUUGAUAACUUCAGGAAACUGGGGCUAAUACCGGAUAGGAGCUCCUGCUGCAUGGUGGGGGUUGGAAAGUUUCGGCGGUUGGGGAUGGACUCGCGGCGUAUCAGCUUGUUGGUGGGGUAGUGGCUUACCAAGGCUUUGACGGGUAGCCGGCCUGAGAGGGUGACCGGCCACAUUGGGACUGAGAUACGGCACAGACUCCUACGGGAGGCAGCAGUGGGGAAUAUUGAACAAUGGGUGGAAGCCUGAUGCAGCAACGCCGUGUGCGGGAUGACGGCCUUCGGGUUGUAAACCGCUUUCGCUCAUGACGAAGCUUUGUGUGACGGUAGUGGGUAAAGAAGCACCGGCUAACUACGUG